Long non-coding RNA from Salvelinus fontinalis (brook trout), 656 nucleotides. RefSeq lists it as uncharacterized. NCBI's taxonomy places the organism in Eukaryota, Metazoa, Chordata, Actinopteri, Salmoniformes, Salmonidae. The transcript has 6 exons. The record is from RefSeq and is a predicted model, not a curated record.
GUCUUCUCUCAGUGGGACUGGCAGCUCCUCUGUCCUGUGAGGAUCUACUGAGACCUUUACAGAUGAACAGCACGAACCAUAUUUUGGGUAAGUGGAUUUUUAUCGCGGAGAGCACUGAGGUCCCUGGUGGCAGGGAGUAUGCUGGAAAAGAAUAGAUCACAGGCUGGCUUCAGAUCUCUCCUGGGCUCCAGAACAACACUGUCAAAGAAUUACAGAUGAUAAACAUUGGAGGCAAAUGCAAUAGCAUGACCAGUGAAAUGACCAUGGAAAACAACACGUUUACCUCAACGGGACCUUUGUACUUUUCCCUGACCUACCUGAAUACCUGCCCUGACUGCCUCCUUGCCCAACAAAAGUUGUCAUUGGUUAGCAACUACAGCACUCUGUAUAUCUUCAGUAAGAGAAAGGAGCUGACCUCUGCUGAACUGGAAGUGUUUAAGAAACAGGUGGACUGUCUCAAUUUGCCACCAGCUGUGUUCACAAACCCACAGAAAGAUUCCUGUCCAGAUCCGACACAGGACAACAGCAAAACUCUGGACCUGUCGAAAGUGAUUGAAUUGCUGGGUGACAAGAUUGAUCUUCAGAAGACUUUAGAAGAGAUGAUAAGUAAAUUACAACUAGUGAGUAUUAAAGCCGAUUAAUUGUCAAAAUGUCAA